RNAcentral lists this transfer RNA (72 nucleotides) under Enterococcus faecalis. Its description in RNAcentral is "tRNA-Glu". It matches the Rfam family "tRNA". From Rfam's summary of the family: Transfer RNA (tRNA) molecules are approximately 80 nucleotides in length. The record is from RNAcentral. RNAcentral also lists the same sequence under 1 other name. Lineage: Bacteria; Bacillati; Bacillota; Bacilli; Lactobacillales; Enterococcaceae.
GGCCCGUUGGUCAAGCGGUUAAGACACCGCCCUUUCACGGCGGUAACAUGGGUUCGAGUCCCGUACGGGUCA